CUCGCGUGCAAUAAAUGUUUCCGACAGAAGCAGCUUCUCGACGUGCACUUCAAGAAGUACCACGAUGCGAGUUUCGUGCCGGCUGUGUACGAAUGCCCCGCGUGCGGCAAGGGCUUCUCCCGCGGGACUAACAUGCAGAGACACUCGGCCAAGUGUGGCGUGGGGCCAGGAAAGCCAGCUGCCUCGGGGAAAGCGAGAAGAACCAAGAGAAAGCCAGCCGCCCCGAAAGAGGCAGUCCAGGAAGACGAAGCGGCCGCUAAGGAGGUGUCCGCCGUGAGGCUGGAGCAGUGCCCGGGAGACGUGGUUCCUGUCCCCUACGGAGGCGUCGCAGCUGAAGAAGUGACCUGUGACGGCUAAGCGACAGAGAUUCCGAGUUCCUGUUUGCAGCAGUCAGCUCUCCAGCAAGUUAGAAGUUUGUAGCAUCUUCUUUGAAACAACUAAGUUCAUGACAAUGGAGGCUCUCGAUUUUUCCAAAGUUUAGGGUUAGUGCCGGGAAUUGUUUGCCUAUUUUUUUUCCACUGGAUAGUUCAAAACCAUGGCAGGUAUUUUAUAAAAGGCCCAGAUCUUGGAUUGGAGGAUAAAACCUCAAACCUAUGAAUUCAUUCACUAGAUACUGGCAGGGGGGCCUGCAAUGAAUGGGCAGUAAUUUGGGGUGGGGGGGGACCUUCGUUAUUUCAGCUGUAAGUACAGACUGACUAUUUAGUGCUUCAGCCAACAGCCAAAGCUGGGAUACCUUAUGUUAAAUCGUACACACCCUUUAUAUUUCUAAUAUGAUUUUUUUAAACCUGAAAAACUAAUUUUAUAUUCUUUUUUAAUACAAAUGAAUUUCCCAUAAAAUUUAAAGUUACCGUAAUACUUUUAAUUAGUUCGAAAUUCAACAAAAAAGAUCUUCGUAUGGUGAAAAACAAAGCUGAGUAGAAGAUGGAAACCUCUAGAUUAGACUAGACGGUGACGUGUAAUUAUUUUACUCUGGUCUACGAGCAAGGUUCACUUUUAGAGUUUGUAUUCUUCCUAAAUGAUGUUUUCUGGCAGGUAUGAAAUUUCCCUGGUGACAUGCCGUUGUCACCUGCUAGGAUACAGUUCAUCCCCCUUUUGUUUUGCUAAACCUACUUUGUUGAUAGUUUUUUAAAUAAGGGGCCGAGUGAGGAGAAACAUAAUGAAAUGUGUACUGAUAAUGAAAUGUGUGUUCGUGAAGAAAUUGCACUCCGCGUGUCAUGCCCUGGAAUUGGUAUUUCUCCUUUGCCAGUGAAGAGACUUUUUUUUUCUCAGCUUCGAGCAGCAUAUGAAAUGCCUCUUUAGUACUUAAAAUUAACUGGUAACCAUCUUUAUAAUGAUUCAUUUUUCAUACGUUUCUUCUUAGCUCAGCAGCUGUGUUUGCUCGGAACGCUUCUCCCCCUAGUUUAAAACCAUCCAUGGGUCCCAAGUUCCGUUUUUUCACCUUUAUCGAGAAAUAAUUGGCAAAUACAGUUGUGAGGUAUUAAAAACAUGCAUCACGAUGAUUUGCUUCGUGGGUACAUUGUGUCAGGCCUCCCCCCACCCGGUUAACUAAACCCAAAUUCUUAAAAUGCCGAUCUUCAAAGUCCAAAAGCCCUGUAUAAAGUGAACAUACUGAAGCACUUUCCAGCCGGAAGGGCAUUAUCUUCUUUUCGUCAGAGCAAAUUCAUGGAGUUCACAUAAUGAGGCUUAAAUUGUAUAGUUUAUUAUGCGCUAUUGUGACUAAAUUUUUGUAACACCUUAUUUGUUGUUUAAAGCUGUUUUGCAUAACUCAAUAAAAUGAAAUGACUUAAAUUUCUGUCUUUGUUU
This 1803-nucleotide long non-coding RNA is filed under the name Ursus maritimus (polar bear). RNAcentral's name for it is "lncRNA (ENSUMAG00000002634.1)". The record is from RNAcentral. Lineage: Eukaryota; Metazoa; Chordata; Mammalia; Carnivora; Ursidae.